CAAAUACUCCCUCCGUCCGGAAAUACUUGUCAUCAAAAUGGAUAAAAGGAAAUGUAUCUAGACGUAUUUUAGUUUUAGAUACAUCUCUUUUUAUCCAUUUUUAUGACAAGUAUUUUCGUACGGAGGGAGGUACAAA
Molecule: non-coding RNA, 136 nt
Organism: Triticum aestivum (bread wheat)
Lineage: Eukaryota; Viridiplantae; Streptophyta; Magnoliopsida; Poales; Poaceae
Source: Rfam